RNAcentral lists this ribosomal RNA (1466 nucleotides) under uncultured bacterium. Its description in RNAcentral is "16S ribosomal RNA". It matches the Rfam family "Bacterial small subunit ribosomal RNA". The record is from RNAcentral.
UAGAGUUUGAUCAUGGCUCAGGAUUAACGCUGGCGGCGUGCCUAAUACAUGCAAGUCGAACGGAAGUACCUUCGGGUACUUUAGUGGCGAACGGGUGAGUAAUACAUAGGUAACCUACCCUUAAGACGAGGAUAGCCAUUGGAAACGAUGGAUAAAACUGGAUAGGAUAUAGAGGAAGAAUCUUUUAUAUUUAAAAGAGAGAUCUGCUUAAGGAGGGGCCUGUGGCGCAUUAGCUAGUUGGUGGGGUAAGGGCCUACCAAGGCGAUGAUGCGUAGCCGGACUGAGAGGUUGAACGGCCACAAUGGAACUGAGAACGGUCCAUACUCCUACGGGAGGCAGCAGUAGGGAAUUUUCGGCAAUGGGGGGAACCCUGACCGAGCAACGCCGCGUGAACGAAGAAGUUAUUCGUAAUGUAAAGUUCUUUUAUCAGGGAAGAAAGAGGAAUUUGACGGUACCUGAGGAAUAAGCUCCGGCUAACUACGUGCCAGCAGCCGCGGUAAUACGUAGGGAGCGAGCGUUAUCCGGAAUUAUUGGGCGUAAAGGGUGCGUAGAUGGCAUAGUAAGUCUUUUGUAAAAAUGCUGGGCUCAACCCAGUAGGGCAAAAGAUACUGCAAAGCUAGAGUAUGACAGAGGCAAGUGGAACUACAUGUGUAGCGGUAAAAUGCGUAAAUAUAUGUAAGAACACCAGUGGCGAAGGCGGCUUGCUGGGUCGAUACUGACAUUGAGGCACGAAAGCGUGGGGAGCAAACAGGAUUAGAUACCCUGGUAGUCCACGCCCUAAACGAUGAGUACUAAGUGUUGGUGAGAAUCAGUGCUGAAGUUAACGCAUUAAGUACUCCGCCUGAGUAGUACGUACGCAAGUAUGAAACUUAAAGGAAUUGACGGGAGCCCGCACAAGCGGUGGAGCAUGUUGUUUAAUUCGACGAUACGCGAAGAACCUUACCAGGUCUUGACAUAGCACGCGAAGGCGUAGAGAUACGUUGGAGGAUAGCGUGCAUACAGGUGGUGCAUGGUUGUCGUCAGCUCGUGUCGUGAGAUGUUGGGUUAAGUCCCGCAACGAGCGCAACCCUUAUUUCUAGUUACCAGCAGUAAGAUGGGGACUCUAGAGAGACUGCCAUUGAUAAAAUGGAGGAAGGUGGGGAUGACGUCAAAUCAUCAUGCCCUAUAUGACCUGGGCUACAAACGUGCUACAAUGGCUGAAACAAAGAGAAGCGAGCCCGCGAGGGGGAGCGAACCUCAAAAAAGCAGUCUCAGUUCGGAUUGAAGUCUGCAACUCGACUUCAUGAAGAUGGAAUCGCUAGUAAUCGCGAAUCAGAAUGUCGCGGUGAAUACGUUCUCGGGCUUUGUACACACCGCCCGUCAAACCAUGAGAGUUUGUAAUACCCGAAGCCGGUGGCCUAACGAAAGAGGGAGCCGUCUAAGGUAGGACAGAUGAUUGGGGUUAAGUCGUAAUCAAGGUAACCGUA